UAACCAGCAGCCUUACUCCCAGCGAUUAAUAGUCGCUAUCCAAAAAAGCCAAUUAAAACUCAGUUGAAAAAUUUAGGCCGAUUAAGUUGGUACCACCACCUCGGUUUUGACUGAGCCGCGGACCAGGGACAACGUAGAAAAUAUAUCAAGAAACGACUAGUGAUUAUUUUUGAAACGGUAGCCGAAGUAAGCCGAUAUCAGGCCGAUGUUGCGUUCCGUAUUUCAAUAGAGGUGAAAGAAAGAGAUGUCGCUCUAUAAAAUUGUAUAAGAUCUUGUGUUUUUUCUCGCUCUGACAAGGAAAAAAUUGGUGUGCGUUCGAAGUACUAGCGAAGCUUGAAAUAAGAAAUCCGGUAAUCAUCAGUCCAUAUUAUGUUUUUAUUUUUUCAAUGUUAGUAAAAUAUUAAUUAAAAUACUUAUUAAACACUAGGUUAAAGUCAUCACUCAUGCCAUUUUUUACUUAUUAUUCACAAAAACUUAACUUUGUAAACGUUAAAAUAUGAAAUUAGGGGCUUUUGAACGCAUUCAAACUAAAAAUGAAAAUACUCUGUGAACCUGUGAAAACACUCCCUCCACUUCAUUCAUACAACAUACAAUAACAAUGAUAAAACAAAAUUACAAAUGGAAUUUCCUUAUUUAAAUAGAUAUUUGUGCACUAAAUACAUAAUAAUAUGACAAAGAAGAAGAAGACGUUGCGUGUCACCGUAUAGCCAAGGAAAUAUCUUGUGAAAGUUUUAACUCAAGGCGGAAAUUUAUUGAAAAAAUACUCAACAUAACCUACAAUUACAGUGAAAUACUGAAAAUAUCUUGUACCGUGAUAAUAUUUCUGAAUAAUAAGUGCAAACCCAUACUCUAAGAUCGUGCUUUCAACCACAUACUUAAUACAAUUCCAUAAUCAUAUCGAAAUCCAAAAGUUCGUAAGUCGUAAGUGAUCAUAGUUUAGGUGUGUACUUAUUAGACUCAUGCAUUGUAAACUCUAUAAACGAUUACUCGUAAUGUAUUAAUCAUAUUAAAAGUUGAA
Plutella xylostella (diamondback moth) is the source of this 1018-nucleotide long non-coding RNA. RefSeq lists it as uncharacterized. Lineage: Eukaryota; Metazoa; Arthropoda; Insecta; Lepidoptera; Plutellidae. The record is from RefSeq and is a predicted model, not a curated record.